AUUGAACGCUGGCGGCAGGCCUAACACAUGCAAGUCGAGCGGAUGAAGGGAGCUUGCUCCUGGAUUCAGCGGCGGACGGGUGAGUAAUGCCUAGGAAUCUGCCUGGUAGUGGGGGAUAACGUCCGGAAACGGGCGCUAAUACCGCAUACGUCCUGAGGGAGAAAGUGGGGGAUCUUCGGACCUCACGCUAUCAGAUGAGCCUAGGUCGGAUUAGCUAGUUGGUGGGGUAAAGGCCUACCAAGGCGACGAUCCGUAACUGGUCUGAGAGGAUGAUCAGUCACACUGGAACGGGGACACGGUCCAGACUACUACGGGAGGCAGCAGAGGGGAAUAUUGGACAAUGGGCGAAAGCCUGAUCCAGCCAUGCCGCGUGUGUGAAGAAGGUCUUCGGAUUGUAAAGCACUUUAAGUUGGGAGGAAGGGCAGUAAGUUAAUACCUUGCUGUUUUGACGUUACCAACAGAAUAAGCACCGGCUAACUUCGUG
RNAcentral lists this ribosomal RNA (484 nucleotides) under uncultured bacterium. Its description in RNAcentral is "partial 16S ribosomal RNA". It matches the Rfam family "Bacterial small subunit ribosomal RNA", at positions 30 to 507 of the family's 1533-position model. The record is from RNAcentral.